CAGUGUAUAUUACAGUGUGUGUGUGUUACAGUGUGUGUGUGUGACAGUGUGUGUGUGUUACAGUGUGUGUGUGUGUGUGUCAGUGUAUAUUACAGUGUGUGUGUGUGUUUGAACAGGCGGAGGUCCUCCAUGUUGUCCGUCGCUACACAAACACUCAGCUGUUCAAACAGAAACUGACUUCAGCGCUUCCUGCUGAAACGGUUGAAGGUGUUUCCACCUGACUGCUGCAGAGUUCACGUCGCCCUGAUGGACGGAACAACAGCCCAGUUUCUCGUCUGAUUUGAAGAACGGACGUUGAUUCUUGCGAGUGGAGUCAUGUGAUCACACGAAGAAGAAAUGUAGCGUUUUGGUUCGAGCGCGCGACGACGCUGACGAUCAGUGAAUCUGUUGUGUGUCUGAUUGAUUAAACUGAUGAGACCUGAAGGAAGCAACACAUCGGAGAAAAUAUAGUUUUUUUACCUGAGUAGUGCCUGCAGGCCUCCUCUCAGGCUCCCUGUCCCACAACGGAGCCAGUUCAAAGUCCGAACUCCCCAAACACAUCCAGAUCCGUCCACGCUCGCUGAUCUCAACCCGCCGUCAGAGCCGCUUUUAAUGUGCUUUUAAUGUGCGACUAAUGGUUUCAGUGUGUUGCUUCUGAUCAUUUGAACUUCUGUAAAGUGUCUUUGAGUUCCUGAAUUAUUAUUAUUAUUAUUAUUAUUAUUAUUAGCUCUGUCAAACCACCUUCCAACAACUCCAAGUCUGUCUGAAAGGAGCACUCCACCUGAACCAGGACCAGGAAACUGAACAUGGUCUUCUUUGGCCUGAUGAUGUCACAGUGAUGUCACUUUAUGGAAGAGUCGCAGCGGUGUGUUUCCUGUCCAUCACCGUGUUGAAAUGUCAGCUGACUGUGUGGACGUGUGAAGCGGACUGAUCCUGCAGAGAAACACAAACACUGAGAGUCUCAGUCCUCUUUAAAGACCUCCUCCCUGGUGUUUGUCCUCAGACCCUGCAGGAGUUUUAAUAUCAGCCUGUCAGUCUGAACUCAGGGACAUUUGCCUUCCUUUUGUGGAGAGAAAACUCUCAGGAGGAGUCGACCUUUUCUCCGGUCUGUCGCUGUUUGCAGAGUCAUGGAAACGCCUCAGAGACCAGGACCCAGACAGACCUCCAGUCUGGAUCUGACAGACUGUCAACAUGACUAAAGACCAGCAGAGUCCGGACACAGCGCCCCCUACAGCCGGUAACCGGCACUCCGACACAUCAAGUGACUGAACAACAGUGACAGUAAAGAAGAAACGUUUACAGACGGCAGAAACAAACACAAGAGAACAAAACUCGAACGUCACUUCGGAGAAAAGAAGGAAUCUGAUCCGACGGCAGCUAAACGAGAGAAGAAGUGUGAAGCAGAUUUCCCUUCAUAUUAAAACCUGCGAAAAGAGUCUCUCUCUCGUUGGGAAUUGAAAUCAUGGCAGCACAAACUGUAAACUCUGUUCUGAUUGAAUCGUUCCAAUCUCUCCGGCCCAUCAGACCCUGAAAUGACAGUUACAUGUCAUCUGUGGCUGUGAUCGGGUGGAAACUGUAAACUCAGGUGAACCACGGACUCAUUUCUCCUCCUUGUUUUAGUUUUACUGAUAGACAACGAAGGUCUGCAGGUGAGCCGCAAGAUGAUCAAAAAGUUGGGAAGAAACGUUUCUGCUGCACAAAUGUGCGUUGAUUAUUUGAAACUUUUAUCAAAUAUUUGCUGUUUGCUUUCAGACUCGUCUUUGAGUUUCUAACUCUGCAUUGUGAGGAGGAAACGUCACUCUGGUUGAACUUCUCACAGCUCAGAGGCAGCGUGACCCGUGG
Long non-coding RNA from Siniperca chuatsi (mandarin fish), 1821 nucleotides. RefSeq lists it as uncharacterized. The record is from RefSeq and is a predicted model, not a curated record. The transcript is spliced from 3 exons. Lineage: Eukaryota; Metazoa; Chordata; Actinopteri; Centrarchiformes; Sinipercidae.